AGCGAACGCUGGCGGCAGGCCUAACACAUGCAAGUCGAACGAACCUUUCGGGGUUAGUGGCGGACGGGUGAGUAACACGUGGGAACGUGCCUUUAGGUUCGGAAUAACUCAGGGAAACUUGUGCUAAUACCGAAUGUGCCCUUCGGGGGAAAGAUUUAUCGCCUUUAGAGCGGCCCGCGUCUGAUUAGCUAGUUGGUUGAGGUAAUGGCUCACCAAGGCGACGAUCAGUAGCUGGGCGGUGAGGAUGAUCAGCCACAUUGGGACUGAGACACGGCCCAAACUCCGACGGGAGGCAGCAGUGGGGAAUCUUGCGCAAGGGGCGAAAGCCUGACGCAGCCAUGCCGCGUGAAUGAUGAAGGUCUUAGGAUUGUAAAAUUCUUUCACCGGGGACGAUAAUGACGGUACCCGGAGAAGAAGCCCCGGCUAACUUCGUG
This 434-nucleotide ribosomal RNA is filed under the name uncultured bacterium. Its description in RNAcentral is "partial 16S ribosomal RNA". It matches the Rfam family "Bacterial small subunit ribosomal RNA", at positions 29 to 507 of the family's 1533-position model. The record is from RNAcentral.